GACGAUCAGUAGCUGGGUUGAGAGGAUGACCAGCCACACUGGGACUGAGACACGGCCCAGAUCCUACGGGAGGGCAGCAGUGGGGAAUCUUGCGCAAUGGGCGAAAGCCGACGCAGCCAUGCCGCUGAAUGAUGAAGGUCUUAGGAUUGUAAAAUUCUUUCACCGGAGACGAUAAUGACGGUACCCGGAGAAGAAGCCCCGGCUAACUUCGUGCCAGCAGCCGCGGUAAUACGAAGGGGGCUAGCGUUGCUCGGAAUUACUGGGCGUAAAGGGCGCGUAGGCGGAUCGUUAAGUCAGAGGUGAAAUCCCAGGGCUCAACCCUGGAACUGCCUUUGAUACUGGCGAUCUGAGUAUGAGAGAGGUAUGUGGAACUCCGAGUGUAGAGGUGAAAUCGUAGAUAUUCGGAAGAACACCAGUGGCGAAGGCGACAUACUGGCUCAUUACUGACGCUGAGGCGCGAAAGUGGGGAGCAAACAGGAUUAGAUACCCUUGUC
RNAcentral lists this ribosomal RNA (494 nucleotides) under Brevundimonas sp. NCIM 2865. RNAcentral describes it as "bacterial SSU rRNA". It matches the Rfam family "Bacterial small subunit ribosomal RNA", at positions 275 to 792 of the family's 1533-position model. Lineage: Bacteria; Pseudomonadati; Pseudomonadota; Alphaproteobacteria; Caulobacterales; Caulobacteraceae. The record is from RNAcentral.